AGUAGCGGAUGGUGAGUUGCUUUAAUUGUCAGCGCAGUGGCGGACGGGGGAGUAAUAUAUAGGGUAACGUGCCCUAGAGAAGAGGAUAAGAUUUGGAAACGAAUGCUGAUACUCUAUAUGCCUUUAAGACAUAAGUCUGCAAGGGAAAUAUUUAUAGCUCUAGGAUCGGCCUGUACGGUAUCAGCUUGUUGGUGAGGUAAUGGCUCACCAAGGCAAUGACACCUAACUGGUUUGAGAGGAUGAUCAGUCACACUGGAACUGAGACACGGUCCAGACCCAUACGGGAGGCAGCAUUGGGGAAUAUUGCACAAUGGACGAAAGUCUGAUGCAGCUACGCCGCGUGGAGGAUGACACAUUUCGGUGCGUAAACUCCUUUUAUAUAGGAAGAUAAUGACGGUACUAUAUGAAUAAGCGCCGGCUAACUCCGUGCCUGCAGCCGCGGUAAUACGUAGGGUGCAAGUGUUUCUCGGAAUCACUGGUCGUUAAGAGCGUGUAGGCGGGUAAUUUAGUCAUAAGUGAUAUCCAAUAGCUCAACUGUUGAACUGCUUUUUGAAACUGGUUACCUAAAAAUAUGUGAGAGGUAUAUGGAUUUUCUGGUGUAUGGG
RNAcentral lists this ribosomal RNA (605 nucleotides) under uncultured Arcobacter sp. RNAcentral describes it as "bacterial SSU rRNA". It matches the Rfam family "Bacterial small subunit ribosomal RNA", at positions 60 to 681 of the family's 1533-position model. The record is from RNAcentral. Lineage: Bacteria; Pseudomonadati; Campylobacterota; Epsilonproteobacteria; Campylobacterales; Arcobacteraceae.